This 84-nucleotide transfer RNA is filed under the name uncultured Clostridium sp. RNAcentral describes it as "tRNA-Leu(taa)". It matches the Rfam family "tRNA". From Rfam's summary of the family: Transfer RNA (tRNA) molecules are approximately 80 nucleotides in length. Their secondary structure includes four short double-helical elements and three loops (D, anti-codon, and T loops). Lineage: Bacteria; Bacillati; Bacillota; Clostridia; Eubacteriales; Clostridiaceae. The record is from RNAcentral.
GCGGGUAUGGCGGAAUAGGCAGACGCAUAGGACUUAAAAUCCUAGGGUGGAAACACCAUACGGGUUCGAUUCCCGUUACCCGCA